This 429-nucleotide ribosomal RNA is filed under the name Dermestes maculatus (common hide beetle). RNAcentral describes it as "partial large subunit ribosomal RNA". The record is from RNAcentral. Lineage: Eukaryota; Metazoa; Arthropoda; Insecta; Coleoptera; Dermestidae.
GUCUUUUUGAUAAUGAUUUAAAGUCUAGUCUGCCCACUGUAGAAAUGAAGGGCCGCGGUAUUUUAACUGUGCAAAGGUAGCAUAAUAAUUAGUUUUUUUAUUGAAAACUGGAAUGAAUGGCUGGACGAGAGAAAUAGUGUCUCAAUAAAAAUUAAUGAAUUUUAUUUUUAAGUGAAAAAGCUUAAAUAAUUUUAAAAGACGAGAAGACCCUAUAGAGUUUAACAUUAAGUUUAUAAUAAUUUAUUGGAAUCAUUUGUUAUUAUAAUAAUUUUUGUUUAGCUGGGGUGGCUUUAAAAUUGAUUUAACUUUUAUAAAUUUAAACACUUAUUUGUGAUUAUUUGAUCCAUAAUUUUGAUUAAAAGAUUUAAUUACCUUAGGGAUAACAGCGUAAUCUUUCUUUAGAGUUCUAAUCAAUAGAAGGGAUUGCGA